AAAGGAAUAGACGGGGGCCCGCACAAGCAGUGGAUUAUGUGGUUUAAUUCGAAGCAACGCGAAGAACCUUACCAGGUCUUGACAUCGUGCGCAUACCAUAGAGAUAUGGGAAGCCCUUCGGGGCGCAUGGACAGGUGGUGCAUGGUUGUCGUCAGCUCGUGUCGUGAGAUGUUGGGUUAAGUCCCGCAACGAGCGCAACCCUUACGAUUAGUUGCUACGCGAGAGCACUCUAAUAGGACUGCCGUUGACAAAACGGAGGAAGGUGGGGACGACGUCAAAUCAUCAUGCCCCUUAUGACCUGGGCUACACACGUAAUACAAUGGCGGCAAACAACGGGCAGCAACGGAGCGAUCCCAAGCGAAUCCUCAAAAGCCGUCUUAGUUCGGAUUGCAGGCUGCAACUCGCCUGCAUGAAGUCGGAAUUGCUAGUAAUCGCGGAUCAGCAUGCCGCGGUGAAUACGUUCCCGGGCCUUGUACACACCGCCCGU
RNAcentral lists this ribosomal RNA (487 nucleotides) under uncultured bacterium. RNAcentral describes it as "bacterial SSU rRNA". It matches the Rfam family "Bacterial small subunit ribosomal RNA", at positions 903 to 1397 of the family's 1533-position model. The record is from RNAcentral.